AUAGCAAAUAUAUUUAUUUCGUUUAGGACAUCAAAAAGAAAAACUCCAUGAACAAGAACCAAGAUGGGCACAAAAAACAAAAGCGAAGCAACACGUUUAGAGCUUAUUCAGAUUUCCAUAUAUUAAUUUAAAAAUUCAUUUAUUAAUCGAAGGCAUAGAUCACAGAGCAUAUCAUGUAGUCCCACAGUCACGCAGCUUCAAAUAUAAAAGUGUAUGCUUUGAAAUCACAUAUUUAUGGGGGAGUUCAUUCACUUCAUUUUGAUAAUUUUAUUCUUUGAUUUAUUUAAACACUGGCCACACUAAUGUUGGCAAGUAAUAUUUAUCAAAGCCCUUUGCACCACAGGAAGUGUGUGUGUGUGUGUGUGUGUGUGUGUGUGUGUGUGUGUGUGUGUGUGUGUGUGUGUGUGUGUGUGUGUGUGUGUGUGCGUGUGUUCUGAUAGAUUGGCCACUGAAGCCGUUUUUCCACAAAUACGCCACACACACGACAAGCAAAAACAUGAAGUUAAGAUUUAGCGUAUGUUGAUAUUGAGCCAUCCAUUUCCAUAAUAAAGGGCAGUACAUUCAGUUGACAUAUUACGGAGACUUGAUCAACCAACAUGCUUGUGCUAUGACCAUGAUGAGUGAUGAUGCCUUGUGCCUUUAUACUAGGCCACUGCAUGGCUGUAGCCAAUGAGGCUCUCCGAUACUGCAUCCAACUAUCCAGUUAAGGCCAAUCAUAGGGGAGCUAUAAUAAAUGUGGUUCCACUGGGUAAUAGGCGGAGCUUAUUCCAGUUGGUAUCUCCUGUGGGACCUGGGGUGCAUCCCAAUAAGUGACCUUGCCUCCUCCACUUGUGCUUGUCUCCUCGUCCCGCCUCCUGGCCCCUCCUCCGUGGAGAAAACGAUAAAGUUUCCCAGCUGUCAGCCUCGCCACAACAACUUUUGAGGGACUGUUUUUCAUUCACCAUCCCAAUUGCAAAUGAGAAAAAGACUUUACAAUUGAGCUUUUGCAAGAUAUUGAAAUAUAAUGCUGUUGUCAGUGAUGUCAUCAUGACGAGAAGCAAGUGGAGGAGGCAAGUGGAGGAGGCAAGGUCACAUAUUAAAACGCAAUCCUGGUGAUUCAUGGUGACUGUGUGUUUACAUGCCAAACCAUUUCCUCCUUUCCUUUCCCGUCCCUUGUGGCCUUGUGACAUCAAUGAUUGAUCAUCAUAGUAUUAUUCAAUAGAUCCUGCAAAAUUGCAAUUCAAUUAUCUCCUUUGCCACAUGCCAUAUUAUGCCAUCAGGAUGAUGACUGGGGAAAAAAAAUGCUCAAAAAGUUGUUUUGCCUUGGAAGACAAAGAGCGGGCAAACUUUAGGCGGGGCGACAUCCAAAGGAAAGAGACCAGAAGCAAGAGGAAAGGAUGGGAGGAUGGAGGUUGACUUGUACCGAGGACCAUAUCUUGGCUGCCUGUCAUCUUUACUACACUUGGCAGUUUUGAUUGCAGCUUGGCACCGGCAAGACAGGUGACUGUGCAGGGGACUCUUAGGGCCUCCGCACAUAGGCUCCGACAGCACUGCGGAGCACUUUUGCUUCCGACACAAUUCCGACCACCGCAGACAAUUUCACAGAGAAAAUAGAACUUGCCUCUAAUCCCUUGCCGACAUCCGCGAAUGUUUGCGAACAUUGGCGCCGGUGUUGCGGGGUUGUAUUGACAACAAUGGAAUCGAACUUUGUCGGAGCCGAUGUGCGGAGGCCCUUACAAACGUGGUGUCUGCACAACUGUUCACAAUGUACCUUAACAGCCUGGUCUCACAGAACUCCGUGAAAUGAGCACAGAUCUUUGUGGCAGUGCCAUGGAUUUCACCAAAGUUCUGUGUCGGGAUUACGUACGUAAGUGUUUUCUGUGAUGGACUCAUUGAAGUGCUUUCUCUAUGUUCCCACAGCACUAUGUAGAGACUAUCAUUAGAAAACUGACAAACCGGUGGUGUAAUAGCCUACCUUUUCCAGUUGGUUGAUAACUUAGAUUCUGUGUCUAAAUUGCUAUAGCAAUUUAAUUUGUGCCUAGACCAAAACCCUAACCCUAACUUGUCAGUAAAGAAAUGCUUUUUAGAAAUGCCUUUUCCACUUGGUUGAUAGGUUACAAGCCGUGCCGAGAACAAAACAAAACAAUCCCAAACCCUAACCUGUCAGUAAGAUU
This is a long non-coding RNA of Engraulis encrasicolus (European anchovy), 2153 nucleotides long. RefSeq lists it as uncharacterized. The record is from RefSeq and is a predicted model, not a curated record. NCBI's taxonomy places the organism in Eukaryota, Metazoa, Chordata, Actinopteri, Clupeiformes, Engraulidae. The transcript is spliced from 2 exons.